GGGGAUUACGAACGGGUACUUGCCGUCCGAUCCAGGGGCGGCUGGGGGAGGCGGCACAGGCUGGGAAGCCAGUAUGGGCUGACCCGGACCAUUAUCGCCUGUGAGAAUUGUUGGGAGGCAGAAAAAAGAUCAAGUUAAAUAUAUAAUUUACAGAUCAAAAACGUAUUCACGUUCUCUUGCCGUCUUUGGGUCACUAGCGGAGUCAUGGUUGUGAUGAGGGCAAGUCAAGGAAGCUCCGCACAUUUAACCAUGAGCUGCUUCAGGAAAGGUCAGGAUCUCUCCUGUUAUUAUGGCUCAAUAAUUGCAAGUCGGUAUUUUGAGUAUAGCAGCGUGUGCGCCGUUCCUAUCGCUGAUUGCGCCAAUUUGGGCUAGGGAGCCGACGCCUUCCCCAGCGCCCAAGACCCGACAAAAAUGACUAAAUAUAUUUCAAAAAAAUGGUAUAAGGUGACUGGCUUGGCUGCUGGCCGCUACAUAAGCUCAGGCUGCUAUGAGCUCGCCCGCCUCCGCCCGCCCUCAACCGCAACCCUCGGCAUACCUUGAAGCAAUCUUCUUGCUUCACUUGCUCCAGUACAACUCAGGGUCUGGGCCAAAAGUGAAAAAACUAGCGCGUGGGCUAAGGUGCUCCGUGACACCAUGCUGAUGUUCUACCUUCGGGCAAAAAAUGCUGAAGUCGUCACUUCCAAGGCGUGUAGACCUUAUGCGGUUUCCAUUCUUGUAUGUUAUGUUUCAAUUUCAGGAGAUUCCAAUUUUCCUAGUCGAGCACCACCGAAGGGCGAAGCCAGCCGUGUCCUAAGGAGCGGUGUGCAGCACUUGUAGGGCUCAACACCCCCUAUGCGCGACUUCACUCCGGCAAACAGCGCACUGGGCGUUGGACUAAGCGAACGGUAGAGGACGUACGGGCGACACGGAAAAGCGGCCCACAUGCCUAAGGACUAGGAAAUAGCUAUCAAGACAUGUUCAUGGCAGCCUGGCAUAAUGUGAACUAGCCCCUUUCAUGCCCUAGUCCAGUCCGCCUGAACGUUCUUGGGCCUGCAUGGCUCAGGUCCGUACGCAAGUCGGCAAGGAGCGCCUUGGAAACAUGCAUUCGGGCACUGGGGCCUUGAAAUAAG
RNAcentral lists this long non-coding RNA (1109 nucleotides) under Volvox carteri. Its description in RNAcentral is "long non-coding RNA (VCAR_LNC000641)". The record is from RNAcentral. Lineage: Eukaryota; Viridiplantae; Chlorophyta; Chlorophyceae; Chlamydomonadales; Volvocaceae.